Molecule: ribosomal RNA, 257 nt
Filed under: uncultured prokaryote
Description: partial 16S ribosomal RNA
Rfam family: Bacterial small subunit ribosomal RNA
Source: RNAcentral
UACGGAGGAUGCGAGCGUUAUCCGGAUUUAUUGGGUUUAAAGGGUGCGUAGGCGGCUUUUUAAGUCAGCGGUGAAAUUUUGCAGCUUAACUGUAACAGUGCCGUUGAUACUGGGGAGCUAGGAUUUGGUUGCUGUGGGUGGAAUGUGUGGUGUAGCGGCGAAAUGCUUAGAGAUCACGCAGAAUAUCGAUUGCGAAGGCAGCUCACAAAGCCAAGAUUGACGCUGAGGCACGAAAGUGUGGGGAUCAAACAGGAUUA